Molecule: small RNA, 124 nt
Filed under: Bradyrhizobium sp. STM 3843
Lineage: Bacteria; Pseudomonadati; Pseudomonadota; Alphaproteobacteria; Hyphomicrobiales; Nitrobacteraceae
Description: Repression of heat shock gene expression (ROSE) element
Rfam family: Repression of heat shock gene expression (ROSE) element
About the family: This family represents a 5' UTR cis-regulatory element found in heat shock mRNAs and is known as the ROSE (repression of heat shock gene expression) element.
Source: Rfam by way of RNAcentral
CCGGGCGCCUGUCGGGCCCGGCGAACUGCCUGGGCGCAGGACCGGUCCCGUACCAACCAGGUCUGGCACCGGCCUUGCGCUCCUUCGUAUCCAUCUUGCUCUCAGGAGGACCUGGCUAUGAGGA